Molecule: ribosomal RNA, 497 nt
Filed under: uncultured bacterium
Lineage: Bacteria
Description: partial 16S ribosomal RNA
Rfam family: Bacterial small subunit ribosomal RNA
Source: RNAcentral
GAUGAACGCUGGCGGCGUGCCUAAUACAUGCAAGUCGAGCGAACGGACGAGGAGCUUGCUUCUCUGAUGUUAGCGGCGGACGGGUGAGUAACACGUGGAUAACCUACCUAUAAGACUGGGAUAACUUCGGGAAACCGGAGCUAAUACCGGAUAAUAUUUUGAACCGCAUGGUUCAAAAGUGAAAGACGGUCUUGCUGUCACUUAUAGAUGGAUCCGCGCUGCAUUAGCUAGUUGGUAAGGUAACGGCUUACCAAGGCAACGAUGCAUAGCCGACCUGAGCGGGUGAUCGGCCACACUGGAACUGAGACACGUCCCAGACUCCUACGGGAGGCAGCAGUAGGGAAUCUUCCGCAAUGGGCGAAAGCCUGACGGAGCAACGCCGCGUGAGUGAUGAAGGUCUUCGGAUCGUAAAACUCUGUUAUUAGGGAAGAACAUAUGUGUAAGUAACUGUGCACAUCUUGACGGUACCUAAUCAGAAAGCCACGGCUAACUACGUG